GCCGGGCAUGGUGGUUCAUGCCUGUAAUCCCAGCUACUUGGGAGGCUGAGACAUGAUAAUUGCUUGAACCCAGGAGGUAGAGGUUUCAGUGAGCCGAGAUCACCCACUGCACUCCAGCCUGGGCAACAAAGCAAGACCCUGUCUCAA
Unclassified non-coding RNA from Pongo abelii (Sumatran orangutan), 147 nucleotides. It matches the Rfam family "Metazoan signal recognition particle RNA". From Rfam's summary of the family: The signal recognition particle (SRP) is a universally conserved ribonucleoprotein. It is involved in the co-translational targeting of proteins to membranes. The eukaryotic SRP consists of a 300-nucleotide 7S RNA and six proteins: SRPs 72, 68, 54, 19, 14, and 9. The record is from Ensembl. Lineage: Eukaryota; Metazoa; Chordata; Mammalia; Primates; Hominidae.